RNAcentral lists this ribosomal RNA (505 nucleotides) under uncultured bacterium. Its description in RNAcentral is "partial 16S ribosomal RNA". It matches the Rfam family "Bacterial small subunit ribosomal RNA", at positions 28 to 507 of the family's 1533-position model. The record is from RNAcentral.
GACGAACGCUGGCGGCGUGCCUAAUACAUGCAAGUAGAACGCACAGUUUAUACCGUAGCUUGCUACACCAUAGACUGUGAGUUGCGAACGGGUGAGUAACGCGUAGGUAACCUGCCUGGUAGCGGGGGAUAACUAUUGGAAACGAUAGCUAAUACCGCAUAAUAUUGAUUAUUGCAUGAUAAUUGAUUGAAAGAUGCUAUUGCAUCACUACCAGAUGGACCUGCGUUGUAUUAGCUAGUAGGUGAGGUAACGGCUCACCUAGGCGACGAUACAUAGCCGACCUGAGAGGGUGAUCGGCCACACUGGGACUGAGACACGGCCCAGACUCCUACGGGAGGCAGCAGUAGGGAAUCUUCGGCAAUGGACGAAAGUCUGACCGAGCAACGCCGCGGGAGUGAAGAAGGGUUUCGGAUCGUAAAGCUCGGUUGUAAGAGAAGAACGGGUGUGAGAGUGGAAAGUUCACACUGUGACGGUAUCUUACCAGAAAGGGACGGCUAACUACGUG